Molecule: unclassified non-coding RNA, 286 nt
Filed under: Hevea brasiliensis (rubber tree)
Lineage: Eukaryota; Viridiplantae; Streptophyta; Magnoliopsida; Malpighiales; Euphorbiaceae
Source: RNAcentral
CACGUCAAACUCGUGGAAGGGCAAUUCAAUUAGGUCUGCCGAGAAUUCAUACCCCUGAAUCCUCAACGGGCAACCUUUAUACACCUUAUUCACUACCACACUGUGGCCUAGUGGAUUUGUGACCAGAAUGUCUUGAUCACUCUUCUCUACUGGAACUCCCCUCUCUAUGGGUAGUUUGAUGCACAUGUAGGAAUGAGUGGAUCCUAGAUCCACCAAUGCAUGUACAGAAGUGUUGUAGAGGGAAAACGUACCCCUGAUGACAUCCGGGGCAUCUUGCUCCUCCUGA